CCGGCUACAUAAACUCGUUUGAAGGUGAUUCAAGACAUCAGUUGUUCAAUUCAUCAAAAGUACGCAACACGAAACUAACAAAUGGAAUUUCUUUUGAUUUUAUUGGUUUACAUUUUCAUCGCUUAUUGAAAAGUUUCAAUUUCUUUUCGUAGUUUGUCAUCGGCACUUUCUUGGCUAUUGCUGCCGCUGCGCCUUCCAGCAACAAGCCGGAAUACAAAGCUCCUAGCUAUACUACCCCAAACUUCCCUGCACCAAAGUACCCUACUACUAGCUAACCUGCACCAGCUUACUCUACUCCCAGCUACAACAAGGAUAACAAAUACGCUGAUAUCACCAUCACCAGCCAAUCUGACGAACGCAUCCUCGAUGGCAGCAGCCAAUGGAGGUCUGGGAAUGGCUGAAAAGAGUGACGCAAAAGUCAGGACAGUUUGAAAAAUGAUUGGAAUAAUUACCACACUGGCUGGAUACAUGGAAAGGAAAGGCUAUAAACUCCAAAUGGAGGAAAUUAGGUGUCCACAUGAAUUAUAAACGGUGGAUUAAUUGGACGACCAAACCCACUCUUUUUUCACGUUCUCUGCAGUUAACCAUCACAAAUAUGUUUUUAUUCUGUUUUAUAUAAAUCAGGCAGAAAUGUAAAUAAAUUUUUGUCGUGACCCUCG
This is a long non-coding RNA of Daphnia magna, 659 nucleotides long. RefSeq lists it as uncharacterized. NCBI's taxonomy places the organism in Eukaryota, Metazoa, Arthropoda, Branchiopoda, Diplostraca, Daphniidae. The transcript has 2 exons. The record is from RefSeq and is a predicted model, not a curated record.